Naegleria gruberi is the source of this 75-nucleotide non-coding RNA. The record is from the annotation of a RefSeq genome assembly. Lineage: Eukaryota; Heterolobosea; Eutetramitea; Acrasida; Naegleriidae.
GCUGCUCUGGUCUAAUGGUAGGGCGUCUUGCUUAUCGGGAGUAAGAAGAUGUGCGUUCGAUCCGCGCGGGUAGCA